UAACACAUGCAAGUCGAGCGGUAGAGAGGUGCUUGCAGUCUCUUGAGGGCGGCGGACGGGUGAGUAAUGCCUAGGAAUCUGCCUAGUGGUGGGGGGAUAACGUUCCGGAAACGGACGCUAAUACCGCAUACGUCCUACGGGAGAAAGCGGGGGAUCUUCGGACCUCGCGCCAUUAGAUGAGCCUAGGUCGGAUUAGCUAGUUGGUGAGGUAAUGGCUCACCAAGGCGACGAUCCGUAACUGGUCUGAGAGGAUGAUCAGUCACACUGGAACUGAGACACGGUCCAGACUCCUACGGGAGGCAGCAGUGGGGGAAUAUUGGACAAUGGGCGAAAGCCUGAUCCAGCCAUGCCGCGUGUGUGAAGAAGGUCUUCGGAUUGUAAAGCACUUUAAGUUGGGAGGAAGGGUAGUAACCUAAUACGUUGCUACUUUGACGUUACCGACAGAAUAAGCACCGGCUAACUUCGUG
Molecule: ribosomal RNA, 467 nt
Filed under: uncultured bacterium
Lineage: Bacteria
Description: bacterial SSU rRNA
Rfam family: Bacterial small subunit ribosomal RNA
Source: RNAcentral